This 497-nucleotide ribosomal RNA is filed under the name uncultured bacterium. RNAcentral's name for it is "partial 16S ribosomal RNA". It matches the Rfam family "Bacterial small subunit ribosomal RNA", at positions 28 to 507 of the family's 1533-position model. The record is from RNAcentral.
GAUGAACGCUGGCGGCGUGCCUAAUACAUGCAAGUCGAGCGAACGGACGAGAAGCUUGCUUCUCUGAUGUUAGCGGCGGACGGGUGAGUAACACGUGGAUAACCUACCUAUAAGACUGGGAUAACUUCGGGAAACCGUAGCUAAUACCGGAUAAUAUUUUGAACCGCAUGGUUCAAAAGUGAAAGACGGUCUUGCUGUCACUUAUAGAUGGAUCCGCGCUGCAUUAGCUAGUUGGUAAGGUAACGGCUUACCAAGGCAACGAUGCAUAGCCGACCUGCGAGGGUGAUCGGCCACACUGGAAGUGAGACACGGUCCAGACUCCUACGGGAGGCAGCAGUAGGGAAUCUUCCGCAAUGGGCGAAAGCCUGACGGAGCAACGCCGCGUGAGUGAUGAAGGUCUUCGGAUCGUAAAACUCUGUUAUUAGGGAAGAACAUAUGUGUAAGUAACUGUGCACAUCUUGACGGUACCUAAUCAGAAAGCCACGGCUAACUACGUG